CAUGCGCGGCCCCGCCCCCCGCCGGGCGGAUCGGUGGAUGAGAAAAUAAUAACCCACAGGGGGAAGAAAAAUGAGAGAGGAAGAAGAAACACAGAAAGUCCUGGAGAGAGGAGAGGUUGAAACGAGAAAUAUUUCAAAUUAUGAGAGUUGCAAUAGCUACUCACCCAUAACUUAAAUGAAUCUUCACCAAACCCUUUGGAAGAGAUGGUAAUGUGAAGUCUCAUGCACCCUACAGCAUGAAAAGGACCUCAAAGAACUAAGGGAGACUGAGGCCUCGACCCGAGCAGUGAAGAGAGGAGUAACAUCCCUGAGGAGAUUACGUAUGUAGCGUGAUUAAUCUUCAUUAACAAAGACUUUGGAGUAUCUCCUGGGUGUUGGCUGGGCAUUUUAUUAGGCGAUACUAAUUCCUUGUUCCGUAGAUGCCAGCACUCUUAGGGAGUGUAAUAAAUGUUAAAUAAAAAUAAGUAAUGAAUGUCCUCAGAGCUCAAGAGGAGAGCACUGGCUUCUGAACAGCCCUUGAAUAUCUUUACUGCCUUUUUACAAAUCCACGUGUUUUUUUCUGGGAGGGAUUAUUUUUUCAUCAGCAAACGGCCGUGGCUUCGUUAAGCAGAUGUCCUCUAAUCUGUGUCCCAUUUUUCUAUUUGAUAAUGACUUUGAUGAAACUGUCAUUUAUAAUAAUGA
Long non-coding RNA from Ornithorhynchus anatinus (platypus), 681 nucleotides. RefSeq lists it as uncharacterized. The record is from RefSeq and is a predicted model, not a curated record. NCBI's taxonomy places the organism in Eukaryota, Metazoa, Chordata, Mammalia, Monotremata, Ornithorhynchidae. The transcript is spliced from 3 exons.